This 415-nucleotide ribosomal RNA is filed under the name uncultured bacterium. Its description in RNAcentral is "bacterial SSU rRNA". It matches the Rfam family "Bacterial small subunit ribosomal RNA", at positions 355 to 786 of the family's 1533-position model. The record is from RNAcentral.
UGGGGAAUAUUGGGCAAUGGGCGCAAGCCUGACCCAGCAACGCCGCGUGAAGGAAGAAGGCUUUCGGGUUGUAAACUUCUUUUAUUCGGGACGAUAAUGACGGUACCGAAUGAAUAAGCCACGGCUAACUACGUGCCAGCAGCCGCGGUAAUACGUAGGUGGCAAGCGUUAUCCGGAUUUACUGGGUGUAAAGGGCGUGUAGGCGGGACUGCAAGUCAGAUGUGAAAACUAUGGGCUCAACCCAUAGCCUGCAUUUUGAAACUGUAGUUCUUGAGUACUGGAGAGGCAGGCGGAAUUCCGUGUGUAGCGGUGAAAUGCGUAGAUAUACGGAGGAACACCAGUGGCGAAGGCGGCCUGCUGGACAGCAACUGACGCUGAGGCGCGAAAGCGUGGGGAGCAAACAGGAUUAGAUACC